ACGAACGCUGGCGGCGUACUUAACACAUGCAAGUCGAACGAGAAAAGAAGCUUCGGCUUCCAAGUACAGUGGCGAACGGGUGCGUAACACGUAAGCAAUCUACCCCAGGCAUUGGGAUAACUUCUCGAAAGGGGAGCUAAUACCAAAAAUAGUUCCCAAUAGCACAAGCUAUGGGGGGAAAGUGGGCCUCUAUUUUAUGCUCGCGGUUUGGGAUGAGCUUGCGGUCCAUUAGCUUGUUGGUGGGGUAACGGCCUACCAAGGCAGCGAUGGAUAGCUGGUCUGAGAGGAUGAUCAGCCACACUGGCACUGAGACACGGGCCAGACUCCUACGGGAGGCAGCAGUGGGGAAUUUUGCGCAAUGGGCGAAAGCCUGACGCAGUAACGCCGCGUGGAGGAUGAAGGCCCUUGGGUUGUAAACUCCUGCCAGGGGGGAAGAUAGUGUCGUUGCAAAUAGCUUUGGCACUAUGACGGUACCCCCAAAGGAAGCCCCGGCUAAUUCCGUGCCAGCAGCCGCGGUAAUACGGAAGGGGCAAGCGUUGUUCGGAAUUAUUGGGCGUAAAGGGCGCGUAGGCGGUCUCAUGUGUCCGCUGUGAAAUCACACGGCUCAACCGUGUUGGGUCGGCGGAAACUGUGAGACUUGAGGCUGGGAGGGGUCGGUGGAAUUCUUCAUGUAGCGGUGAAAUGCGUAGAUAUGAGGGAGAACACUCGUGGCGAAGGCGGCCGGCUGGACCAGUUCUGACGCUGAGGCGCGAAAGCGUGGGUAGCAAACAGGAUUAGAUACCCUGGUAGUCCACGCUGUAAACGAUGGGCACUAGGUGUCGGCGGUAUUAAUCCCGUCGGUGCUGGCGCUAACGCAGUAAGUGCCCCGCCUGGGGAGUACGGUCGCAAGGCUGAAACUCAAAGAAAUUGACGGGGGCCCGCACAAGCGGUGGAGCAUGUGGUUUAAUUCGACGCAACGCGAAGAACCUUACCUGGGCUUGACAUGCACUGGACCGGCAGUGAAAGCUGUCUUCUCUUCGGGGCUGAUGCACAGGUGCUGCAUGGAUGUCGUCAGCUCGUGUCGUGAGAUGUUGGGUUAAGUCCAGCAACGAGCGCAACACUAGCCCUCUGUUGCUAACGGGUUAUGCUGGGCACUCUGCGGAGACUGCCGGUGAUAAACCGGAGGAAGGUGGGGAUGACGUCAAGUCAGCAUGGCCUUUAUGUCUGGGGCUACACACGUGCUACAAUGGCCGGUACAAAGCGUCGCGAUCCCGCGAGGGGGAGCUAAUCGCACAAAGCCGGUCUCAGUUCGGAUUGUAGGCUGCAACUCGCCUACAUGAAGCUGGAAUCGCUAGUAAUCGCGGAUCAGCAUGCCGCGGUGAAUACGCCCGGCGUUGUACACACCCCC
This 1387-nucleotide ribosomal RNA is filed under the name uncultured prokaryote. RNAcentral's name for it is "partial 16S ribosomal RNA". It matches the Rfam family "Bacterial small subunit ribosomal RNA", at positions 29 to 1394 of the family's 1533-position model. The record is from RNAcentral.